Molecule: ribosomal RNA, 327 nt
Filed under: uncultured eukaryote
Lineage: Eukaryota
Description: partial 18S ribosomal RNA
Rfam family: Eukaryotic small subunit ribosomal RNA
Source: RNAcentral
CCCUUAGAUGUUCUGGGCCGCACACGCGCUACACUGAAGGAGGCAGCGUGUACUCCUGGAUCGAAAGAUUUGGGUAACCCGCGAAUCUCCUUCGUGCUAGGGAUUGAGGUUUGCAAUUAUCCUUCAUGAACGAGGAAUUCCCAGUAAGUGCAAGUCAUAAGCUUGCGCUGACUACGUCCCUGCCCUUUGUACUCACCGCCCGUCGCUACUACCGAUUGAAUGAUUUAGUGAGGACUUCGGACUGGGACCGAUGCGGCUUUCGGGCUGCGUCGGUAUUCUGGAAAGAUGUCCAAACUGUAUCAUUUAGAGGAAGUAAAAGUCGUAACA